Molecule: ribosomal RNA, 245 nt
Filed under: uncultured bacterium
Lineage: Bacteria
Description: partial 16S ribosomal RNA
Rfam family: Bacterial small subunit ribosomal RNA
Source: RNAcentral
AGAGUUUGAUCCUGGCUCAGGACGAACGCUGGCGGCAUGCCUAACACAUGCAAGUCGAACGGAGAUAUUUGGAAGCUUGCUUCUGGAUAUCUUAGUGGCGGACGGGCGAGUAACGCGUGAGCAACCUGGCCUUCAGAGUGGAACAACGUCUGGAAACGGGCGCUAAUACCGCAUAAUACAAGAGAGUCGCAUGGCUUUUUUGUCAAAGGAGAAAUCCGCUGAAGGAUGGGCUCGCGUCCGAUUAG